RNAcentral lists this transfer RNA (72 nucleotides) under Phrynosoma platyrhinos (Desert horned lizard). RNAcentral describes it as "tRNA-OTHER". Lineage: Eukaryota; Metazoa; Chordata; Lepidosauria; Squamata; Phrynosomatidae. The record is from RNAcentral.
GCCAGAAUGGUGUAGUGGUUUGAGUGUUGGACUAUGAUUUUGGAGGCCAGGGUUCAAAACCCCGCUCAGACA